RNAcentral lists this ribosomal RNA (386 nucleotides) under uncultured Clostridium sp. RNAcentral's name for it is "bacterial SSU rRNA". It matches the Rfam family "Bacterial small subunit ribosomal RNA", at positions 395 to 796 of the family's 1533-position model. The record is from RNAcentral. Lineage: Bacteria; Bacillati; Bacillota; Clostridia; Eubacteriales; Clostridiaceae.
CGCCGCGUGAGUGAUAGACGGCCUUCGGAUCUGUAAAGCUCUGUCUUUGGGGACGAUAAUGACGGUACCCAAGGAGGAAGCCACGGCUAACUACGUGCCAGCAGCCGCGGUAAUACGUAGGUGGCAAGCGUUGUCCGGAUUUACUGGGCGUAAAGGGAGCGUAGGCGGAUUUUUAAGUGGGAUGUGAAAUACCCGGGCUCAACCUGGGUGCUGCAUUCCAAACUGGAAAUCUAGAGUGCAGGAGGGGAAAGUGGAAUUCCUAGUGUAGCGGUGAAAUGCGUAGAGAUUAGGAAGAACACCAGUGGCGAAGGCGACUUUCUGGACUGUAACUGACGCUGAGGCUCGAAAGCGUGGGGAGCAAACAGGAUUAGAUACCCUGGUAGUCA